GUGGUUGUGGCUCAGUGGUAGAGUGCUUGUCUGACGUGUGAGGUACUGGGUUUGAUUCUCAGCACCACA
RNAcentral lists this transfer RNA (69 nucleotides) under Ictidomys tridecemlineatus (thirteen-lined ground squirrel). RNAcentral describes it as "Spermophilus tridecemlineatus (thirteen-lined ground squirrel) tRNA". It matches the Rfam family "tRNA". Rfam says of the family: Transfer RNA (tRNA) molecules are approximately 80 nucleotides in length. Their secondary structure includes four short double-helical elements and three loops (D, anti-codon, and T loops). The record is from Rfam by way of RNAcentral. Lineage: Eukaryota; Metazoa; Chordata; Mammalia; Rodentia; Sciuridae.